Molecule: non-coding RNA, 2869 nt
Organism: Macaca mulatta (Rhesus monkey)
Lineage: Eukaryota; Metazoa; Chordata; Mammalia; Primates; Cercopithecidae
Source: RefSeq, a predicted model, not a curated record
GGAUGUUGUACAUGGGUAGAAAGGUGAAAAUUGUGGCCAGAGGCAGAUUGUAGUAAACUAGAAAAUUGGCUCAUAAUCCUUUACUCCUUCUUGCCUCCAUGCUCUUUGUAAUGUGACUUUGCCACUUUUCUCAUUAAGAGAUGGAUUCUCUUCUCCGUUGCCUUCUGUCUGGACUGGUCUUGUAACUUGUUCUGGUUAAUAGAAAGAGGUAAACGUGAUGACACAUCAGAAGCCAAGGCCUCAAGCAAACUUUCCCACUUGCUGUCUUGGAACCCUUCCCAGCCACCAGGUAAAUAAGCCGAGGCUCUUGUGCUGGACGAUGAGAGGUCACUGGAACACUAAUGAGCCAUAACAGCCAAGGCCAUUCUAGAAUAGAUAGCUUUUGCCAACCAAGCAGCUGACUGCAGAUACAUGCCUGCAUCCAGAUGAGUCCAGAAAAGCAACCUAGAGAUGAGAAAACCAAGUAAUGAAAAUGCUGAGUAACUGCAUCUAUGUAUGUGAACAAGUAGCCAAACCAGGAUUUGAAAAACUUCCUAAAUUUUUCCAUUGCACUAUGUCCUCGGAGGACAUGAGAGAGAGACUUGACUGGACUAAGAAAGAAAUGAACAUGAUUUAGAGAUGGAAAUGGUGACAUAUGGGCUGUUGAAACCUCCCAUGUUCCAGAGAAGAAGAGAAGACUAGAACCACAUUCCCCAGAAUCCUUUUCCCUGUGUGGUUUCCUGUAUAGUUAGUUUCAUCACUGACAGUCACUUCUGUAAACUUCAGAAAGUAAAAGGGAAGAAAAUGAUGAUAUUCACCAGAGGCAGAUUCACCCAGACACACACUUCUCCACGUCCUUCUAAGGUUUACCAACUUAAAAAUUAAGGUGAGAAUUUGCACCUGCUACUGUAUCUAGCUUCCACACCUGGCAUAUUUACUUAAGGUAUUCCUUUUUUCAAAUCAGAGAUUUGUGUAUUUUCCACAAAUAAUUUGUGAACCUGUUAUCUGACUUAUUUUUGAUGAUAGAAAAUGAGUUACUGGACACUGCACAUAAAAUAUCUUACAGUUAAAAGGGAAACAGGUGGUAAUUUAAGGUGGCAUUUACAUGGACAAUAUGGGCAAUUAAAAGCAAAACAUUUCUGAUUUAUGACUUAACUUAAUCAUCUUGGCAAAGGGCUAAAAAAUGUAAACAACUGGAGAUUUGACAUGACCUGAGAGGUUUUCUAGACCAGAAUGCUAGGGAAUAGUUAAUACCCCAUAAACCUAUGCAAAACUACUCUCCUUUUUCUACAAAGCAUGUGUGUGUUCUAAUUAAAUAGUAUUUUUUAACUCAUGUAAACAAAGAGGAAAGGUCAGUUAAAAAAUGUUGUUCUGCAUUUUGUCAAUGACUACAAAUCCCAUACCUAAAAAUGGAGCCUGUCUAAUUCAACAUCAUUUACUUCCCAAAAGCAGUCAUCAAGGUGGGCAGGAAAACCAAAAAUAUAUAAAGUUAGAGUCUGAACUGACUGGGGUUCUAAUUCCAUAGAAUAAAUGGUAUUCUGCUUCAAAUCUACAAGGCUCAUUUUUCUCAUCUUAAAAAUGAAAAUAAAGAUUAUUAACCAAAUUAGGGUGCUCAGGAGAAAGGAAGCCCUGAGUAAAUGCUCUUUUCUUUCUAUCAAACUUUUCUAGCUGCUCUCCCACCAUGACACCCUUCCCCCACAGCUGGUUUGUCUGUUAUUCCAUCCUCUGACUUCAUCCUUCAGGUAUUUCACUAGCGUAAUCCUCAAAACAGCCCUCUGAAGUUGUUUUUUUAUCUUCAUUGUCAAGGGGUUGGGGAAUGGAGGUGUAAAGAAGCAUAUCAGUCAGGAAAACAAAUACCACUCUAGGUAUUUCAAACAGAGAGAAUUUAAACUCAAGAAAUGUCCACACAGGUAAUGGAAAAGGAGAAAUAGCUAAGGGGUAUCUGAGGGAGCCCAAGUUUUAGCAAAAGCAAAAAGCUACCCCUAACUUUCCUAGGCAUGGAGGUAAACUGAAAGGAAACCCAAAGCCAGGGUCAUCCUGUGGAUGUGACCUCAGGUAUCCAUUCAGGGAGAGCUGAGGCCACCAGAACAUGUAGCCACUGCUGAAAGUGCUGCUGAAGUUGGAACAGGAGCAAUUAAUUUACCUUCCCAGCAAGAAGAAGGCUCAGAAUUGGAAUCCACAUACUUACUAUAGCUCUUUCUUUCUGAAAUGGAUAUAAUUUUACAUGUGAGAAGGCUUACAAAUCAUAAAUCCCAAUAGAAAUUUAAAACCUUAUAAUACAGCAUUAGGAUAUGAAGAACUCUGGAACACCCUUCAAAUAAGAGAUCAUAAAGAAUUCUUGGCCCCAGAACUUGCUUGACAGUUUCCUUGAGUGAUUUCAUACAUUCUAAUGGCUUUGGGUCAAAAGCAGGGCCUCAAUAAAGGUUUAUUGAAUGAAAGGGUGUCCAGGGGAAUUUUACAUAGUUUUAAUUAUGACAUCUUUUGGCCCACUAGAUUUGAUCAUAAACUUCAAAUUCAAAACAGAAAAUCAGAAGACUAGAAGAAACAGCGUGGGAUCACAGUUUGGAUAGAUCUUUUUUGCUUUUUCAUCUUAUUUCUAUAGUUGAAUUAAACUUUCAGAAAAAAAAUACAUAAAGCAGAGGUAUUUGAAGCAAUGAAUAAUAAGAUUGGACUUCUGAAGUGUGGUUCACACCCACCUCAUUUCCUAAGCCAUAAUCCUGGUAUAAUGUGUAAAGGGAUUUGCAAUGAAAGAUAGUAAAUCCAAUGUGUAUCAAUUAUUCAUACAUUCCAAUUGGCAGUGAACCCAGCAAAUGUAUUCAAUGAGUGGUCUCUAUUCCCACAAAUGUAGAAAGUGCAUAAUGGAUGGAAAAAUAAAGAAUUUACUCUUCAA